This 969-nucleotide ribosomal RNA is filed under the name uncultured bacterium. RNAcentral describes it as "bacterial SSU rRNA". It matches the Rfam family "Bacterial small subunit ribosomal RNA", at positions 535 to 1501 of the family's 1533-position model. The record is from RNAcentral.
GGGGGGGUUCUCGGAUAUUGGGCGUAAGAGCUCGUAGGCGGUUUGUCGCGUCUGCCGUGAAAGUCCGGGGCUCAACUCCGGAUCUGCGGUGGGUACGGGCAGACUAGAGUGAUGUAGGGGAGACUGGAAUUCCUGGUGUAGCGGUGAAAUGCGCAGAUAUCAGGAGGAACACCGAUGGCGAAGGCAGGUCUCUGGGCAUUAACUGACGCUGAGGAGCGAAAGCAUGGGGAGCGAACAGGAUUAGAUACCCUGGUAGUCCAUGCCGUAAACGUUGGGCACUAGGUGUGGGGGACAUUCCACGUUUUCCGCGCCGUAGCUAACGCAUUAAGUGCCCCGCCUGGGGAGUACGGCCGCAAGGCUAAAACUCAAAGGAAUUGACGGGGGCCCGCACAAGCGGCGGAGCAUGCGGAUUAAUUCGAUGCAACGCGAAGAACCUUACCAAGGCUUGACAUGAACCGGUAAGACCUGGAAACAGGUCCCCCACUUGUGGCCGGUUUACAGGUGGUGCAUGGUUGUCGUCAGCUCGUGUCGUGAGAUGUUGGGUUAAGUCCCGCAACGAGCGCAACCCUCGUUCCAUGUUGCCAGCGCGUUAUGGCGGGGACUCAUGGGAGACUGCCGGGGUCAACUCGGAGGAAGGUGGGGACGACGUCAAAUCAUCAUGCCCCUUAUGUCUUGGGCUUCACGCAUGCUACAAUGGCCGGUACAAAGGGUUGCGAUACUGUGAGGUGGAGCUAAUCCCAAAAAGCCGGUCUCAGUUCGGAUUGGGGUCUGCAACUCGACCCCAUGAAGUCGGAGUCGCUAGUAAUCGCAGAUCAGCAACGCUGCGGUGAAUACGUUCCCGGGCCUUGUACACACCGCCCGUCAAGUCACGAAAGUUGGUAACACCCGAAGCCGGUGGCCUAACCCCUUGUGGGAGGGAGCUGUCGAAAGUGGGACUGGCGAUUGGGACUAAGUCGUAACAAGGUAACC